UUCGGUGGCUUGCACUAGAUUAUUUACAAUACAUUAUUUUUUUAAAUAUACAUAGAUAUAAUUGUGACGAAUGUACAAACCUAGCAUUAAAAUAUCGUCAUUAAGCAAUAACCAUAGGAAACUAUAUUAAGACGUUUGUUCUUGUCACAUCAGAUAUAAUACCUUUGUUUGCACACUCUGAUUAUGUACAAUUAAGGGUGACGACACAGCUAAUAGACGCAGCACAGCACGCGCAAAAACUCAAGUGGAGAUGGGCGGGACAUGUCGCCCGCAUGACAGACGAAAGAUGGACAAAACUAGUCACUGAAUGGUCAGGUCCAAGCGGAACAAGGAGUAAAGGCAGACCCAAGGACCGCUGGAUUGACGAAAUUCAGAAGAUUGCAGGAAAAGAUUGGAUGAUGAAAGCAAAAAAUCGAAAAAAAUGGAACAAGCUGGAGGAGGCCUAUACCCAGAGCGGGGCCAUGCGUAUAUAUUAGUCUAGAUUUUUAUUGUUUUGUUUUAUGUACAUUCAAUGUAACUUGCAUGGAAAUAAAGGCUAUAUUAUAUUAUAUUA
Molecule: long non-coding RNA, 553 nt
Organism: Helicoverpa zea (corn earworm)
Lineage: Eukaryota; Metazoa; Arthropoda; Insecta; Lepidoptera; Noctuidae
Exons: 2
Source: RefSeq, a predicted model, not a curated record